RNAcentral lists this long non-coding RNA (403 nucleotides) under Homo sapiens (human). RNAcentral describes it as "non-protein coding HCG21:3". Lineage: Eukaryota; Metazoa; Chordata; Mammalia; Primates; Hominidae. The record is from RNAcentral.
CCCGGCAGCCUCCUGCCCUCGGGGCACUCGCUCCCCCCGAGGUGUACUCCCCGAGGGCUGGGGGAGCGCAUUCCCUCCCGUCCUACUGAUUAACUUUCAGCAAAUGGGGAUGCCCAAAGGAGCAGAUAGCGAGUGACCUGUGGCCCUGCUGUUUGAUUCUGGAUGGAGUUACGUUUAGGAGCCUGGCAGCAAACUGGGGCACCUGUUCAAUUAGUGAUGAUGCCAUACUCUGGUUGAUUUCUGUGGGGCACAUCUGUCCCUUACCAAGAAGAUCAGGCCAAGGAACACCAGGAGGAGAAUCACAGCCACCAGGACCACAAUAACUAUGGCCCAUGCAGGGAAUGAAUCAUUCUCUCCCAUCUGUCCAGCGUGGAUACCUUUCUGUGAGCCAUCUUUAUUGAGG